Molecule: ribosomal RNA, 391 nt
Filed under: uncultured bacterium
Lineage: Bacteria
Description: bacterial SSU rRNA
Rfam family: Bacterial small subunit ribosomal RNA
Source: RNAcentral
AGGUGUGCAAUCUGUCCUACUACCAGAGCAUAGCCCAGCGAAAGUUGGAUUAAUUCUCUAUGUGAGCCGAGAGGGCAUCCUUUUGGUUUGAAACGUGAGGGUAUAGGGUGAGCACGCUUCUGAUUAGCUAGUUGGUGAGGUAACGGCUCACCAAGGCGACGAUCAGUAGGGGUUCUGAGAGGAAGGUCCCCCACAUUGGAACUGAGACACGGUCCAAACUCCUACGGGAGGCAGCAGUGAGGAAUAUUGGUCAAUGGACGGAAGUCUGAACCAGCCAAGUCGCGUGAAGGAUGAAGGUUCUAUGGAUUGUAAACUUCUUUUGUCUGAGGGUAAAAAGGCCACGUGUGGCUUCUUGCAAGUAUCAGACGAAUAAGCAUCGGCUAACUCCGUG